Molecule: ribosomal RNA, 490 nt
Filed under: uncultured bacterium
Lineage: Bacteria
Description: partial 16S ribosomal RNA
Rfam family: Bacterial small subunit ribosomal RNA
Source: RNAcentral
AUUGAACGCUGGCGGCAGGCCUAACACAUGCCAGUCGAACGGUAACAGGAAGAAGCUUGCUUCUUUGCUGACGAGUGGCGGACGGGUGAGUAAUGUCUGGGAAACUGCCUGAUGGAGGGGGAUAACUACUGGAAACGGUAGCUAAUACCGCAUAACGUCGCAAGACCAAAGAGGGGGACCUUCGGGCCUCUUGCCAUCGGAUGUGCCCAGAUGGGAUUAGCUAGUAGGUGGGGUAACGGCUCACCUAGGCGACGAUCCCUAGCUGGUCUGAGAGGAUGACCAGCCACACUGGAACUGAGACACGGUCCAGACUCCUACGGGGGGCAGCAGUGGGGAAUAUUGCACAAUGGGCGCAAGCCUGAUGCAGCCAUGCCGCGUGUAUGAAGAAGGCCUUCGGGUUGUAAAGUACUUUCAGCGGGGAGGAAGGGAGUAAAGUUAAUACCUUUGCUCAUUGACGUUACCCGCAGAAGAAGCACCGGCUAACUCCGUG